RNAcentral lists this ribosomal RNA (384 nucleotides) under Mantoniella sp. Its description in RNAcentral is "partial small subunit ribosomal RNA". It matches the Rfam family "Eukaryotic small subunit ribosomal RNA", at positions 582 to 975 of the family's 1831-position model. Lineage: Eukaryota; Viridiplantae; Chlorophyta; Mamiellophyceae; Mamiellales; Mamiellaceae. The record is from RNAcentral.
AUUCCAGCUCCAAUAGCGUAUAUUUAAGUUGUUGCAGUUAAAAAGCUCGUAGUUGGAUUUCGGUUGAGAGCGGCCGGUCCGCCGUUUGGUGUGCACUGGCUGGUCUCAACUUCCUGCGGAGGACGCGCUCUGGGCUUAACGGUCUGGACGUGGAGUCCGCGUGGUUACUUUGAAAAAAUUAGAGUGUUCAAAGCGGGCUUACGCUUGAAUAUUUCAGCAUGGAAUAACACUAUAGGACUCCUGUCCUAUUUCGUUGGUCUCGGGACGGGAGUAAUGAUUAAGAGGAACAGUUGGGGGCAUUCGUAUUUCAUUGUCAGAGGUGAAAUUCUUGGAUUUAUGAAAGACGAACUUCUGCGAAAGCAUUUGCCAAGGAUGUUUUCAUCA